This 429-nucleotide ribosomal RNA is filed under the name Chloroflexota bacterium. RNAcentral's name for it is "Chloroflexi bacterium partial 16S ribosomal RNA". It matches the Rfam family "Bacterial small subunit ribosomal RNA", at positions 355 to 776 of the family's 1533-position model. The record is from RNAcentral. Lineage: Bacteria; Bacillati; Chloroflexota.
UGGGGAAUAUUGCACAAUGGGCGCAAGCCUGAUGCAGCCAUGCCGCGUGUAUGAAGAAGGCCUUCGGGUUGUAAAGCACUUUCAGCGGGGAGGAAGGCGAUAAGGUUAAUAACCUUGUCGAUUGACGUUACCCGCAGAAGAAGCACCGGCUAACUCCGUGCCAGCAGCCGCGGUAAUACGGAGGGUGCAAGCGUUAAUCGGAAUUACUGGGCGUAAAGCGCACGCAGGCGGUUUGUUAAGUCAGAUGUGAAAUCCCCGGGCUCAACCUGGGAACUGCAUCUGAUACUGGCAAGCUUGAGUCUCGGAGAGGGGGGUAGAAUUCCAGGUGUAGCGGUGAAAUGCGUAGAGAUCUAGAGGAAUACCGGUGGCGAAGGCGGCCCCCUGGACGAAGACUGACGCUCAGGUGCGAAAGCGUGGGGAGCAAACAGG